GUUCGUUUAGAUUUCGAUUCUAAAGAAGAAAUAUCCAGUAAUUUAAACUUUUGGAUUCGGCAACCCUCUAGAUGGACACCUUAUUUCGAGAGUGAUGCUUGUGACCGUCCUGACAGUACGAUGUGCUCUUACGCGUAGAUAACACAAGUUAGGUGUUCUUUCCGAGAUAAUAGGCUAUAUCUAAGAGGUACGAGCGAUACGACACCGAUGCCGUCGUCGUCGUCGUCGUCGUCGGAAGGAUGAAAGAUGAGUUGGACGCGGUGACCCAGAAAUAGAUCUCUAUCGAAUCGGAGAUUCCAAUUCCGACGUGAUCCAUCCGCGUUGCCGCGCCGUCGAACGGUCUCGAAAAAUUCUUUGUGAAAACGGGAGAACAUUCCGGAAAUCGAUUACGCAGCUCUGUAUGUGUGUGUGUGUCUGAGAGAGAGAGAGAGAGAGAGAGAGA
Molecule: long non-coding RNA, 442 nt
Organism: Trachymyrmex cornetzi
Lineage: Eukaryota; Metazoa; Arthropoda; Insecta; Hymenoptera; Formicidae
Exons: 3
Source: RefSeq, a predicted model, not a curated record